AUUGUGUCAGCAGCCGCGCGGUAAUACGGAGGUGGCUAGCGUUACUCGGAAUUAUUGGGUGUAAAGGGCAAGUAGGCGGCUUGGUAAGUGGGGGGUGAAAUACUCCGGCUCAAUCGGAGAACUGCCUUCCAAACUGCCAGGCUUGAGUGUGACAGGGGAAAAUGGAAUUCUCGGUGUAAGGGUGAAAUCUGUAGAUAUCGAGAAGAACACCAGCGGCGAAGGCGAUUUUCUGGGUCACUACUGACGCUAAAUUGCGAAAGCUAGGGGAGCAAACAGAAUUAGAUACUCUGGUGGUCCUAGCCGUAAACGAUGAGCACUAGAUGUCGGCCCCUUUAGGGGUCGGUGUCGCAGCUAACGCAUUAAGUGCUCCACCUGGGGACUACGGUCGCAAGGCUAAAACUCAAAGGAAUUGACGGGGGCCCGCACAAGCGGUGGAACAUGUGGUUUAAUUCGAAGCUACGCGAAGAACCUCACCAGGGCUUGACAUAUGGGAAGUAGUGAAAUGAAAGUGGAACGACCUGUCAAGUCAGGAACCUAUACAGGUGCUGCAUGGCUGUCGUCAGCUCGUGUCGUGAGAUGUUGGGUUAAGUCCCGCAACGAGCGCAACCAUUAUCCUUUGUUGCCACUCUUUUUGUCGAAAGACUGAAAGAAGCACUCUAAGGAGACUGCCUGCGAUAAGCAGGAGGAAGGUGGAGAUGACGUCAAGUCAGUACGGCCUUUAUGCCCUGGGCGACACACGUGUUACAAUGGGUGAAACAGAGGGUUGCCAACCCGCGAGGGGGAGCUAAUCUCUAAAAAUCAUCCUCAGUUCAGAUUGGAGUCUGCAAUUCGACUCCAUGAAGCCGGAAUCGCUAGUAAUGGCAGAUCAGCACGCUGCCGUGAAUACGUUCCCGGGCCCUUGCACACACCGCCCGUCAAAUCCGUUACCCACUAAUCGCUGCAGCACAUCCCCCUUUCGCAGCUGCGUAUAGCGAGAGCCCGCCACCGAUCGCCCUUCCACAGUGCGCAGCUGGAUUGCGAUGCGCUGAAUGCGUAUUUUUCUCGUACGCAUCUGUCGAUUCCACCCGCAAUGUGCACCUCUCCAGAUACAGUCCUGCCUCUG
This 1102-nucleotide ribosomal RNA is filed under the name uncultured prokaryote. RNAcentral's name for it is "bacterial SSU rRNA". The stretch from base 1 to 956 matches the Rfam family "Bacterial small subunit ribosomal RNA", at positions 502 to 1533 of the family's 1533-position model. The record is from RNAcentral.